GCACCCUUAGCUCAGUUGGUAGAGUAGCGCAUUUACACUGCGAAGGUCGGGGGUUCGAGCCCCUCAGGGUGCA
This 73-nucleotide transfer RNA is filed under the name bacterium. Its description in RNAcentral is "tRNA-Val". It matches the Rfam family "tRNA". From Rfam's summary of the family: Transfer RNA (tRNA) molecules are approximately 80 nucleotides in length. The record is from RNAcentral.